GAUGAACGCUAGCGGCAGGCUUAACACAUGCAAGUCGAGGGGCAGCAUGAGACGGAGAUUCGUCAAAGUCUUGAUGGCGACCGGCGCAAGGGUGCGUAACGCGUGAGCAACUUGCCCGUUUCAGGGGGAUAACCGGUGGAAACGCCGACUAAUACCCCAUGGCAUUGGCUGGAGGCAUCUCCGGCCAAUUAAAGGAAUUCGGAAGCGGAUAGGCUCGCGUGACAUUAGCUAGAUGGCGGGGUAACGGCCCACCAUGGCGACGAUGUCUAGGGGUUCUGAGAGGAAGGUCCCCCACACUGGAACUGAGACACGGUCCAGACUCCUACGGGAGGCAGCAGUGGGGAAUAUUGGGCAAUGGGCGCAAGCCUGACCCAGCAACGCCGCGUGAAGGAAGAAGGGCUUUCGGGUUGUAAACUUCUUUUGUCAGGGACGAACAAAUGACGGUACCUGACGAAUAAGCCACGGCUAACUACGUG
Molecule: ribosomal RNA, 476 nt
Filed under: uncultured bacterium
Lineage: Bacteria
Description: bacterial SSU rRNA
Rfam family: Bacterial small subunit ribosomal RNA
Source: RNAcentral